CCCCAUACACCGCUUUAGCUGGUUGGAGCUGGAUUACUCAUCGGCUUCGAGUCAUCAAGAUUUUCAGCUGAAAUAACUAGUUGAACUCGCAAGCAUCUCGAAGGAACAUCUACAACAUAUUGCAUAUUAUAAUAUCCCGAUAUAUGCGCAUUCUCAAAGAUUCUGUUCUAGCAAUAGAAUGCAGCUCAAGAGAUGGAGGUUUCAAACACAAUGGCUAUAUGCUGAUUCAACGAAUGUUCAAUAUAACCAGAUGAAUACUAAUAGUAGUUACAUAUUUUCUGUUUCUCAAUGAGUCAUUUUGUAUUAAAAAUCUACUAAAAUGCAACUUCCCAAAAAAGGAAGAUACAUAUAUAACUAUCGCUUAGAAAACGAGAG
This 375-nucleotide small RNA is filed under the name Histoplasma capsulatum. Its description in RNAcentral is "hypothetical RNA". Lineage: Eukaryota; Fungi; Ascomycota; Eurotiomycetes; Onygenales; Ajellomycetaceae. RNAcentral also lists the same sequence under 1 other name. The record is from RNAcentral.